AUGUUGUUCCCUGUCCGUUACAAGUUCCCACAAGAGCAGAUUCGUCAGUUUAUGAAAGUUUUAAGACCAGAUACACUAACCAACUAUCAAUUGCAAUGAUAAUGACUCAUAUUUUUACCUGCAUCUUGUUUGUGUUGAUGUGUGGUACAAGUCAUGCUGAAUUAACAGCGACAUUAACCACUGGUGCACACUCGUAUGCGGCAAAUGAGGUUAUCAAAUACAACAGAGUUCUAUGUUCUGGUAGACCUAUUGACGGUACUUACAGUAGCG
Long non-coding RNA from Mytilus trossulus (common blue mussel), 270 nucleotides. RefSeq lists it as uncharacterized. The record is from RefSeq and is a predicted model, not a curated record. The transcript has 3 exons. NCBI's taxonomy places the organism in Eukaryota, Metazoa, Mollusca, Bivalvia, Mytilida, Mytilidae.